RNAcentral lists this ribosomal RNA (398 nucleotides) under uncultured bacterium. Its description in RNAcentral is "partial 16S ribosomal RNA". It matches the Rfam family "Bacterial small subunit ribosomal RNA", at positions 523 to 918 of the family's 1533-position model. The record is from RNAcentral.
AUACGUAGGGUGCGAGCGUUGUCCGGAAUUACUGGGCGUAAAGAGCUCGCAGGUGGUUUGUCGCGUCGUCUGUGAAAUUCCGGGGCUUAACUCCGGGCGUGCAGGCGAUACGGGCAUAACUUGAGUACUGUAGGGGAGACUGGAAUUCCUGGUGUAGCGGUGAAAUGCGCAGAUAUCAGGAGGAACACCGGUGGCGAAGGCGGGUCUCUGGGCAGUAACUGACGCUGAGGAGCGAAAGCAUGGGUAGCGAACAGGAUUAGAUACCCUGGUAGUCCAUGCCGUAACCGGUGGGCGCUAGGUGUAGGGGUCUUCCACGACUUCUGUGCCGUAGCUAACGCAUUAAGCGCCCCGCCUGGGGAGUACGGCCGCAAGGCUAAAACUCAAAGGAAUUGACGGGG